ACGGAAGGCAGCAGUAGGGAAUAUUGGACAAUGGGGGCAACCCUGAUCCAGCGACGCCGCGUGAGUGAAGAAAUAUUUCGGUAUGUAAAGCUCUAUCAGCAGGGAAGAAAAUGACGGUACCUGACUAAGAAGCACCGGCUAAAUACGUGCCAGCAGCCGCGGUAAUACGUAUGGUGCAAGCGUUAUUCGGAUUUACUGGGUGUAAAGGGAGCGUAGACGGCAUGGCAAGUCUGAAGUGAAAUGCGGGGGCUCAACCCCUGAACUGCUUUGGAAACUGUCAGUCUUGAGUGCCGGAGAGGUAAGCGGAAUUCCUAGUGUAGCGGUGAAAUGCGUAGAUAUUAGGAGGAACACCAGUGGCGAAGGCGGCUUACUGGACGGUAACUGACGUUGAGGCUCGAAAGCGUGGGGAGCAAACAGGAUUAGAUACCCUGGUA
RNAcentral lists this ribosomal RNA (434 nucleotides) under uncultured Lachnospiraceae bacterium. RNAcentral describes it as "partial 16S ribosomal RNA". It matches the Rfam family "Bacterial small subunit ribosomal RNA", at positions 341 to 792 of the family's 1533-position model. The record is from RNAcentral. Lineage: Bacteria; Bacillati; Bacillota; Clostridia; Lachnospirales; Lachnospiraceae.